Molecule: ribosomal RNA, 422 nt
Filed under: uncultured prokaryote
Description: bacterial SSU rRNA
Rfam family: Bacterial small subunit ribosomal RNA
Source: RNAcentral
UGGGGAAUUCUGGACAAUGGGCGCAAGCCUGAACCAGCCAUCCCGCGUGCAGGAAGACGGCCCUAUGGGUUGUAAACUGCUUUUCCAGGGGGAGAAUUUUUCUGUCGUGACAGGAAUUGACGGUACCCUGGGAAUAAGCAUCGGCUAACUCCGUGCCAGCAGCCGCGGUAAUACGGAGGAUGCGAGCGUUAUCCGGAUUUAUUGGGUUUAAAGGGUGCGUAGGCGGAUAGAUAAGUCAGUGGUGAAAACCUGCAGCUUAACUGUAGACUUGCCGUUGAUACUGUCAUUCUUGAGUAUGGUCAAGGUAGGCGGAAUGUGUAAUGUAGCGGUGAAAUGCUUAGAUAUGACACAGAACACCGAUUGCGAAGGCAGCUGGCUGGGAGAUUACUGACGGUGAUGCACGAAAGCGUGGGGAUCGAACA